UACGUAGGGUGCGAGCGUUAAUCGGAAUUACUGGGCGUAAAGUGUGCGCAGGCGGUCGCGCAAGUCGAGUGUGAAAGCCCCGGGCUUAACUUGGGAAUUGCGCUCGAAACUACGUGGCUGGAGUAUGGCAGAGGAAGGUGGAAUUCCACGUGUAGCGGUGAAAUGCGUAGAGAUGUGGAGGAACACCGAUGGCGAAGGCAGCCUUCUGGGCCAAUACUGACGCUCAUGCACGAAAGCGUGGGGAGCAAACAGG
This 253-nucleotide ribosomal RNA is filed under the name uncultured bacterium. RNAcentral describes it as "partial 16S ribosomal RNA". It matches the Rfam family "Bacterial small subunit ribosomal RNA", at positions 524 to 776 of the family's 1533-position model. The record is from RNAcentral.